Molecule: long non-coding RNA, 757 nt
Organism: Neofelis nebulosa (Clouded leopard)
Lineage: Eukaryota; Metazoa; Chordata; Mammalia; Carnivora; Felidae
Exons: 2
Source: RefSeq, a predicted model, not a curated record
AGGGCUCAGGCAGUGUGACAGCAGUUAAUGUUCCCCAGAGCCUUACAUUCGGCUCUUGGCUUCUCUUAUAUUCUCUUCGCUGGCUUCCGCGUCUGUAUAUUUGUCUAGAGUCCAUUGCCUUGACUGCUACACUGUUUCAUCCAACUGUCUGAAUGCCGCCUGAAGACCCAAGAUGACAAGAGUGCCCCAAGUUGAUGGUGGUGUUCCAGGCAUCUGGGCUCUGAUGCCCCUGAGCUGUGGUGACAGCCCUCAAGGGGCCAAAGGUGGCCAAGCACAGUUCUGGAAGGGUGUGACUGAGCCUGGGUUGGGAGGGGUGGUAAUCACCGGAGCUGGAAGAGAAAGAGGCAAGGGUUGCUGUCAUUGGAAUUUGGAUGGGUUGAAAGAGCCAUCCAGAAACACUGGUAAGACAAAGAAUUUGAAAGAGAGAAAGUAUGAAUGCCAAAUAAAGAGAAGCCCUUGAAAUGUGGCCAAAGACCUAUAUUAUAUGGAGAAAUAUCAGAAGCUAGUAUUUCGAACAAGAUGCUAUUAAUAUUUUAUUUCCAUGAGAAGCGUCAUGAAAAAGGAAGGACUUUUGAGGUCAGGAUUGUAGCACCGAUCAACGACACGACUUGAUUCUCUUUUCUUACUUAUUAUAUUCAAUGAAAACAGCUACGCCUGAACUGGAGGUUUCUCUGAAGAUUCUCAGGGUCAGCGCAUCAAAACCUGUGCUAUCCCAAUAGACUGGUGGCAAAAACCAAAAACCAAAACAAAGCGAAAA